ACUUUCAAUGGACAAAAGUCGUCCAAUGGCCU
Molecule: transfer RNA, 32 nt
Filed under: Agama picticauda
Lineage: Eukaryota; Metazoa; Chordata; Lepidosauria; Squamata; Agamidae
Description: partial tRNA-Leu
Source: RNAcentral